AACUCUGUGUGCAUUUUGCAAAGGAUAUGAUGAAGAGUUCAAACACUUGUUCUUUGGAUGUGUCAUUACCAGUAGAGUUUGGAGGAGAGUUUGUAUAUGAUUGGGACACCCUAGAACUACAGUAUGCUGGGAAAAUGAACUGAAGUGGAUCUGUAAUAAUGCAAAGAGCAAAAGCUGGAAGAAAGAGGUCACUGCAGCUGCAUUUGUGACCACUGUUGCAUUGCUAUGGAGN
RNAcentral lists this long non-coding RNA (232 nucleotides) under Nicotiana benthamiana. Its description in RNAcentral is "long non-coding RNA (NBEN_LNC011341)". The record is from RNAcentral. Lineage: Eukaryota; Viridiplantae; Streptophyta; Magnoliopsida; Solanales; Solanaceae.